GCCAGCAGCCAUAUCACCCUGCAGCUCACAGCUGGCAGCCCACUGAAGCUCAGCAGGUGUGAGCCUGGUCAGUCCCUGGAUGGGAGACCUCCUGGGAAAGCUGAGGCUGCUGCUGGAA
This 118-nucleotide ribosomal RNA is filed under the name Lepisosteus oculatus (spotted gar). The record is from RNAcentral. Lineage: Eukaryota; Metazoa; Chordata; Actinopteri; Semionotiformes; Lepisosteidae.